UACGUAGCCCUUCGCAUCUCGUACUCACUCUUCACGGCCUUCCGGGUCUGGGGAGUGGGGAAUGAGGCGGGGGUCGGCCCGGGGCUCGGAGAAUGGGCAGUGGUUGGUUUAGGAGCAUGCAUAUCGCAGUUCUGGACAGUGAGAUGUGAGAGGAGAUUUGCUGGAGGGAGAGAUUCUGAGAAGGCUUUCGGACCCUUAAGAAGAGGCAGAAGGAAGGAUGUUAUUAUGUGAGGAUGGGAUACCUGCAGCCACCUUGAAGACCAGGUGGAACAAACUGGGAAAAGAACCAACACACUGAGGAUCACAGAGAAGAAACAUGGAAAGCUUCUGGGAUCUUGUUGCUGUCCCUGACCCACUCAUUUUACCCACUCUGGAAAUGCCUUAAUGUUUCCUGUUACUUUGAGAUAACAAAUUCAGUUUUUUCAGGCUAUUUCUGUUAGUUUCAGCUGAAACCAUCCCAAGCUACAGAUUCAGGAGAAAAGGAGGGAAAUUUUCUUGUUUCAAAUGAAAUUUUAUAAUUGAUUUAAAGUCCUUUGGGUUUUGGGUGAACUUAAUUUAUUGCUAUUCAUUUGAAUACAGAAAUGGAUGAGAGGAGAAGACUUUUGUAUGGGAAAUGGUUGCUGGUUGCAAAUCUCACUGAAUAAACUCUUAUUCCUGAUUAUGCUGGAUAUUGAGUUAUUGUCCAUAUCAGGUCGUUAAAUUAUUUUAGUGCCCAGGUGUACAGUUUAUAAAACCAAAGAGUAGAGAUAUGUAGGAAUUGUCUUAUUGCCAUUAUUCCUUGAGAACUAUUAACAAAUGAUUCAGGAAUAUUGGCUUUUCAAUUAACUUGAAGUAAGUUUCUUAGGAUGCUUUGCUUUUAGUUACUGCAUUUUUAGCAAGUACCUGGUAAUCUGGGGGACUGUGGCUCAAAGUAGUUAAACUGAAUUUGAAAAGGAUCAGGACUGGCUAUAAAGUGAGACGGAGUGGGUCCAGGUACCUGUGGAUAUGGUACUCUCCUUAAUGCGUAUUUCUCUCUCAUUAUGUUCCAAAGCCAAUGAAAAGCCAAUUGUAUUCAUUAUCCUGGGGGUAUAGUCUUAAUUCUGCCACUUUUCCAUGUUAAUGUAUUAAGUAUAAAGGUUGUGAAAUCCAUUUCAGAUGUUACUGGUUUGGGAAGUAUAAGGUUACAGAUUGAAUGGCAUUUAAAUUUCUUUUUUCCUCUCUCUCCGUUUUUUUUUUUUUUUUUGAGAUAGGGUCUUGCUCUGUCACCCAGGCUGGAAUGCAGUGGCACACUCACUGCAGUCUUGAGCACCCUGGCCCAAAUAAUCCUUCCUACCUCAGCCUCUCUAGUAGUUGGGACUACAGGUGCAUGCCAUCCCUCCUGGUUAAUUUUUGUAUUUUUUGUAGAGACAGGGUUUGACUGUAUUGCCCAGGCUGGUAAAUUAAUUAAUUAAUUUACUUAUUUGUUUAUUUUGAGACAGAGUCUCUCUCUGUUGCCAGGCUGAAGUGCAGUGGCUCAGUCUCGGCUCACUGCAACCUCCACAUCCCGGGUUCAUAGCGAUUCCCCAUCCCCAACCUCCCGAGUAGCUGGGACUACAGGCAGUGAGCCACCACGCCUGGCUAAUUUUUUGUAUUUUAGUAGAGACGGGGUUUCACCAUGUUGACCAGGGUAGUUUCAAUCUCCUGACUUCGUGAUCCACCUGCCUUGGCCUCCCAAAGUGUUGGGAUUACGAACAUGAGCCACGCGCCCAGCCUAAAUUUCUUUAUUUUUAAAAUAGAAAUGGUGGGGAAAUGUACCAUCUGGGUCACUGAAAAGCUGGAGCAAAGACGUAUGGAACUCAGGGAUAUGGACUUUACUUUGUAUCCCUGGUGGUGGGGGGUGGUAUGUCCUUGCUGAUGUAGACUUUAAGAACCAGGAGAUCCUGAAGUGUGUGUAUAAAUAUUACUUUUAAAAAGAAGGUAGAUAUUAUUUAUCUUUAAUAGCAAUAAUAUAAGGCCUGCGUCUAAAAAGAUUCUAGGGUAAUAAGAAAAUCCUCAGGCUGGGCACGGUGGCUAAUGCCUGUAAUCCCAGCACUUUGGGAGGCCAAGGUGGGCAGAUCACUUGAGGUCAGGAGUUAGAGACCAGCCUGGCCACGAUGGUGAAACCUCGUCACUAUUAAAAAUACAACAAUUAGCCAGUCAUGGUGAUGCAAGUUUAUAAUCCCAGCUACUUGGGAGGAUCACUUGAACCUGGGAGGUGGAGGCUGCAGUGAGCCAAGACUACACCACUAUACUCCAGCCUGGGCAACAGAGUGAGACUGUAUCAAAACAGAAAAAAAGAAAUGAAUCCUCUCAGUCUGUGAAGACUAGUCAUACACUGUUGCUUGGGGUUCAAGGGAAGCUGCCUUUUUGUGUGGGAGUAUCCUUUCUGAUAAAAGAGAUUCAGUAACUUAGUCAAGCUUUACCCUGUGAACGAAGAGGUGUGUGUGUGUGUGUCGGUGUGUGUGUGUGUUGUGGGGGGGGGGGGCGUGCAUUCUUUUCCUGCCUUCUGGUUUUAUAGAAGCACUCAAAUACUCAUUGGAUCUUGGAAAGAUGACUCUUCCUUUAUUUAAGAUGCAGUAUUAUGCUGACUAGUAAAAGAAUCUUGAUUAUUUGCUAAUGGGCCAAAGGCAAGUACAAGAAAAAUAGGAAAGCUAUUAUUACUGGUUUUAAUUUUGGAAUUUUUAUGCCUUUUUCUAUUUUGUGUUAUAGUUUUAUAUUGCUAUCAUUUCUGCCCCUUAUUUGGUACUGAUGCCUCAUAUCAGGGAUAUGACGUAUACCAUAGAUAGAUCAUUAAGGGUAAGAUGUAAUAGCAGGGAAGUUAUGUCAUCUAUUCUUAGGUUCUCCCCAUACUCCUAUAGUUAUUCUUUUUUUUUUUUUUUUUGAGACAGUGUCUUGCUCUGUUGCCAGGCUCCAGGCUGGCGUGCAGUGGUGCGAUCUCGGCUCACUGCAACCUCCGCUUCCCGGGUUCAAGCAAUUCUCCUGCCUCUCAGCCUCCCGAGUAGCUGGGACUACAGGCAUGCGCUAGCACGCCCAGCUAAUUUUUAUAUUUUAGUAGAGACGGGGUUUCACGAUGUUGGCCUGGAUGGUCUCAAUCUCUUGACCUCGCGAUCCGCCCGCCUCGGCCUCCCAAAGUGCUGGGAUUACAGGCGUGAGCCACCGUGCCCAGCCUCCAUAGUUAUUCUUUUAUUUAAUUGAUUCAAUAAAUAAUUGAUCACCUCUGGAAUGUCAGACACUUUGCAGUGUCUAGGGGUGUAGCAGUAAACAAAAUGGGCAAAAUCUUUGCUCUCAUGGAGCUUGUGGUUUAAUAAGGAAGAUGGACAGUAAGCAAAUAUUUGGUAAGUUUGGUGGUGAAAUGUACUAGGGAGAAAAAUAAAGUAGAUGAUAGAAUAAUAGAGGAAGAUGGAGAGGAAGUUUGUAUCCCUGCUUUUUUAUUUAGGAUGGUGAUUGAGGAAGAUUUUCUCAUGUUGACAUUUAGACUGAGACCUGAAUGAAAUUUCUUUACUCUAACUAUACUUGCCUCCUUGCUAUUUCUUGUGUAUUUACAGCACAAACGUUGUACUAAUUUAUCCCUUUGCCUAGAAUACUCUUCUGAGAGAUAGUCACAAUUUAAAUAUAUUUUAUAGGGAGAAGGAUUGGGAGUUAUCAAUUGUGUUACCAGGCAAAUGGAAUUUUCUUUUCUCUUAGCGAUGGGUCUGGUUGCCACUGAAUUUUGUAGAAUUAUGUUUUCUUUAGUGAUCACUUAAAAUAACAAGCGUAAUUUGUUUAAAUAUACAUGAUGUUUAGGAUAAUUUUUUUUGAAGACUUAAUAUCACCCGUUAUUUUUGUCCCACUUGUUACCGUACAAAAAUUAAAGUGGACUAUCUGUAACAAAAACUAAGUUGUCUUGGUCACUUUGGGCUGAGUGACCAAGACUGGAUGGUUGAAACAAAUACCAUAGACUGGAUGGUUGAAACAAAACAAAUUUAUUUCUUAUAAUUCUGGAGGCUGGGAAGUCCAAGAUCAAGGCUUCUGAUGUCUGGUGAGGGCGUGCUUCCAGCUCGCAGAUGGCUGUCUCUCAUGGUAUCUUCACAUGCUUGUGUCCCAAAGUCCCCACCCCCAAAUACUAUCACACUGGGGAUUUAAGCUUCAACAUACAAAUUUGGGGGGAUACAAACCUUCAGUUCCAUAGCAUGAGUUAUUAUAUUUUGUCAGUUGACCUAAUAUAACCCGAUAUCCUGGGUAAUAGCAGAGAGGUAAUCACAUUACUUAUUGGUAAGCUGAAAAUGAAUGACAGUUUUAUUCUAAAGCAAUUUUUAAAGCAACAGUAGGCUGUUGUUUUACAUACUUCUCUGAAAACUAUACAUUUAUUUACUUUAUCUAGAAGUGGAGUGAGUGUGGAUCUCUUUAUUAAUUUUUCUCCUAAACAUACUGAAAAUAUUUUGCAUUACACCCUUAGGACUGAUUAGGUUUAUAAAGAAAAGGCAUCUGUGAAUGAAAUGCUGGAUUGCAUCUCCCAUUGGAUCAACUCAACUAAUUAUGCAAAAAAUAAAAAUAACCCCAUUUUUGCUGAACAUAGGAAUUUUGUCAUUGCAAAAGAACUGAAUGGUUCACCACAUUCUCAUGGAGACGUCUUACUGAGGCUGCAGUAGCUGGGUGUACUAUUGUUGAAAAGGAGAAUUUCUAUUUGUAUGUAUUCUUUAGGUUCCUGUGUGCCUAAAAUGGAUCAUUUCUACCAUUGUGUUUUAUCUUCCUUGAUUUCCACAUCAUCUUUUAUUUGUACUUUGUAGAUAGUAGUAUUUGGAGCAUAUUUGGCUAUUAGCCAGUUAGUGAUUAUCUUUUAUAAUGUUUUUAAAGGAUAACAGAGAUAAAUUAAAUUUCAAAACAUUACUGAAACAUCCUUCCCAAUAGCACCUAUAACCUUCUUUCUCGCCCAUACCUUUUCUAGAACUAUAGAACAGAUCAAAUGAGAUUUCCCUUUUUUUUUUUUUAAGCUAACUCUGCCCUCCAGUGGAGAAAACACAGGGCAGUGAAAUAGCUCAGGUAACAUGUAGCAGAAAGGAAAGGAUAUAACACAGCCAGGUAAAAUUCAAGCUGCAUAGCUAUUUUCUACAUAAAAGAGAGGAGUUGUUUUCACCCCUUAUAAGCAAGACUAUUUUUUUUUUUUGACAGAGUCUCGCUUUGUCACCCAGGCUAGAGUGCAAUGGUGUGAUCUGGGCUCACUGCAACCUCUGCCUCUCAGGUUCAAGUGAUUGUUGUUCCUCAGCCUCUUUAGUAGCUGGGAUUACAGGCGUGCACCACCAUGUCCAGCUAAUUUUUGUAUUUUUAGUAGAGACAGGGUUUUGCCAUGUUGGCCAUGCUCAUCUGUAACUCCUGACCUCAGGUAAUCUGUCUGCCUUGGCCUCCCAAAGUGUUGGGAUUACAGGUGUUGCCCACAAGCAAGACUAUUAUGCAUAAGUCUUCCUCUUUGUGAGUUUGUUGAUGAAUCAAAGAAGGAUAUAUUGUCACUUCUCUGACUUAAUGUCUUUGAUGCAAUGCUUUGCAGCCUUUUGUCCACUCUGGUAGGAUGUACCAGAAGCAUUAGGCAAGUCUAUCAGGAGGUGAGUAAUUGGAUUUUUUUCUCCCCUGGAAUGAACUCAAAAAAUAACUUUUAAUUUUUUAAACUUUUUGAAAAGACCAAAAAAAAAAAAACCCUUAAGUGGUUAUAAACAAGAAACAUUUUGCUGCUACUUGUGUAUUCAAAGCACUCAGAAAACUGUGAACUGACUACGACUCUCCCCCUUUUUUGAAUAAAGAAGGGAGAGAGUUGGCUUGAAUUCUGUGACUUGGCCUCAACUUGAUCUCUUGGUGAACACUGGGCUUCAUCAUGGUGAAUGGUGACUGUGUGAUUGAGCACCUGAGAAAGUUACAGAGGCAAGUGUUCAGAACAUGGGCUUGCAUGUGUGCAACUCUGGGCUGGGGAAUGGAGCCAGGGUCAGGGGAUGCUAAGCUGCUGGUGUUUCUAUCCUUCUAGGGAGGGAGCAUUAGAUCACUCAGUUGAAGCUGAAAUGUUAAAGGAGGCUUGAUGGUUUUGUGUUGGUGGAAAUUUGGAGAUAGGUUUUCCUAAAAGCGUAUAGUGGGUGGUAGUUGAGAAACACUAGACAGAGGCUUUCAUUUUCUUAACCCUUACAAAAACCUGAGCCAACUAUCCUUACAGUGAGUUGUCAUUUGAAGUUUUCUACCUACUCAAGGAAUGUGUUUUCUUCUUUAUCUUCUUUUAAUGGAGCAUAUCUUCUGCAAACCUUUUUACAGUUAGAGUGAUUCUUAAAAUUUAGGCAUAUACAGGACAAUUAGACAUAAAAAUACGUGACUUACAGGUUUUAAAGCAAGGAUCCUUGCAUGGUAGACUUUCAAAAGGAUAACCUUCUGCAAAACCACAUAAACAUCAGAGACUGCCAGAGGGAACUCACUUUUAGAAAAAAACAUGAUAUGUGAAUUUUUAGUAAUAAAUUUUGAAAUUCUUGAAGGGAAAUGAUAUAUGAUUUAAGUUUCUUAAAAAUAAUUUAUAUUUAAUUUUUAUUUUAAAUAAUUAUUGUUUUAAGAUCUGAUUCAUUCUGAGCUAUAAUUGACUCUAGAGGGUGCUGAUGAGCACUGAAGAUGUCCUAAAGAUUUAAAUUGAAGAUUGUUUUUAUUAAAAUCAAGUUUCCUUGAGGUUUUAAUCUAGUAUUUGAAAAUAAACACAUAUUUUGCCCUCCCAAGAGAGCCUAGAGCAAAAUACUUAGUGGUUUUUUUUUUUUUUGAGAUGGUGCUUGCCCUGUUGCCCAGGCUGGAGUGCAGUGACACGAUCUCAGCUCACUGCAACCUCCACCUCCUGGGUUCAAGUGAUUCUCCUGCCUCAGCUUCCCAAAUAGGUGGGACUACAGGUGCAUGUGCCACCAUGCCUGGCUAAUUUUUGUAUUUUUAGUAGAGAUACGGUUUCACCAUGUUGGCCAGGCUGGUCUUGAACUCUGACCUCAAGUGAUCCACUGGCCUGGUCCUCCCAAAGUGCUGGGAUUACAGGUGUGAGUCACUAUGCCUGGCCUCAUUGUUGUUCUUUUGAAAGUAGGUAAAUAAUUUACCACUGUUCUUAGAAACUCUUUGAAAAUUCCACUGAAUUUGUGUGAUUUCUGUAAACUAACUUUGAAUCCUGCUUUUGAAAGUGUGUUUAAUGUUUCAAAAGAAAAGAACCUACCUCAUGCAUAUAAAAUAUAAAUCUUAGUACUGGAUUAGUGUAUUAUUUUAUAAAUUUAGUUAUGUUUGCAGAAAUAUUUAUUUUAUCUUUAGAAAGAAACUUCAAAAAGUACACUUUAAAGUUAGAUUUUACAGAACUAACAUUUAGCUAUUAGAGUAAUGUAUGCUUCUUAUAUUUUUAGCAGGUAGACUACUUUUAAACUAUAAUAUGUUUUUUUGUUUGCUCAUUUGUUUGUUUGGUUAGUUUUUUUCUGAGACAGAGUCUUGUCUGUUGCCCAGGCUGGAGUGCAGUGGUACAAUCACAGCUUACUGUAGCAUCAACCUCUCGGGCUUAAGUGAUCCUCCCACCUCGGCCUCCUGCAUAGCUGUGACUACACAUGUGUACUACCACACCCGACUAAUUUUUGUAUUUUUAGUAGAGACAGGUUUUGCCUUGUUGCCCAGGCUGGUCUCAAACUCCUGGGCCCAAACAAUUUGUGCGCCUUGGCCUCCCAAAGUGCUGGGACCACAGGCAUGAACUACCAUGCCCAGCCUACAGUGUGCUGUAUUAAUUUGAAAAAACUUUUCACUUUUCAGAUAGGGAAGCUUUUAGAAAAUUGCUGUCUUAACCCAAACUCCAAAGAUGGUGAUGAUAAAGAUAUACAUUGUUAAGCAAAAAUAAAAUUUGAAGGGCCUCCUAACCUCCUGCAGCUAUCUGAAUAGACUCCCUCAUCAGCAAGGGCACUCUAAAAUUUAACUUGAAACACUGAUUCAGGUCAUGAAGUGGGGGUUGGAUAUGCCUCAUUAUACCCCUCCGACAUUAACAUCAACACAGACCUUAAGUCUGAUAAGAAACAUUUACAAUCUAUUUUCUCUGAACCCUGCAACUUGGAGGCUUCAUCUGUAUGAUAAAACUUUGGUCUCCAUCAGGCGUGGUGGCUCACACCUGUAAUCCCAGCACUUUGGGAGGCCAAGGCGGGUGGAUCACGAGGUCAAGAGAUUGAGACCACCUGGCUAACAUGGUGAAACCCCAUCUUUACUAAAAAUAUGAAAAUUAUCCGGACAUGGUGGCGCAUGCCUGUAGUCCUAGCUACUCAGGAGGCUGAGACAGGAGAAUCGCUUGAACCUGGGAGGUGGAGAUUGCAGUGAGCCGAGAUCGUGCCACUGCACUCCAGCCUGGCCACAGAGUCUGGACAAAAGAAAACAAACAAAACAAAAAAACCCCCUUGGUUUCCAGAACCCCUUAUCUUAACCCAGACUGUUUUUUUCUACUGAUAAUAACUCUUUCAACCAAUUGCCAGUCAGAAUACGUUUAAAUCUACCUAUGACCUGGAAGCCCCUCUCUCCUACCGAGUUGUCCUCCCUUUCCAUAUCUAACCAGUGUAAAUCUUACAUAUAUUGAUUGGUGGACUAUGUCUUCCUAAGAUGUAUGAAAGCCAGCUGAAUCCUACCUGCCCUGGGGCAGAGCCUCUGAGGCUGUGUCACGGUAUGUGUUUAACCUUGGCAAAAUUAACUUUCUAAAUUGAGUGAGACCUCUCUCAGAGAUUUUUAGUUCACAACGUUAACAAAAGUCCUGUGUUAUAGUGAGAAAACUUUGCUAAACAAAAUGAAUUAUUCUUAAUUGGAGUAUUAGUCACUUCAAAGAAUGAAUGUUAAUGUAAACUUUACAUUAUGUUCUACCUAUGAAAAAGUGAUGUAUUUCCAGACUACCCUUUGUUUAACAUUUCUUCAGAAAUAUCACAACUGUUUAAUUACUGCAGGCAGAGAAUCAUAGUAGAAAAAUUCUCUCAGUAAUUUGACAUGAAACCUAUGUUUUACUCAUUGAAGGCAGUGUUAUCCAACAGAACUUUUUGUGGUGAUGGAAAUAUUCUAUAUCUACACUGUCCAAUUUGGUAGUCACCAGCUAUUGAGAGCUUGAAAUGUGGCCAGUGUUACUGAUGAACUGAAUUUUUAAUUUUGUUUUAUUUUAAUUAAAAAUUAAAUUAAUAGCGACUUGUGUCUGGUGGCUACCAGGUUGGAUGGCAUUGAUUUUAGGUCCUUCUGCUAGGUGAUAGAUGUAUCGGGGAUGGAAUUAUGACUGGUGGUACAUAUGUGUAUCUGUGCAGUCCUUUGAACUUUUAUAAACCUGCCUGGGUAUUAUAACAUGCAAACACCUUGUUUCCAAAUAGACACAUUUAUGUGAAAAGAAUUGGCCCUUUGGAUGUAUCUCAAACCCUGAAGGUUUUCUUUUGUGCUUUUGAGUUAAAGUGUAGAUAGCAUCAUACAAGAGGUGACUGCAAAAUGGAGAGACUGAUGAAAACAAAACAAAAGCAACCCCAAACCAGAAUUUAUGUCCACUGCGUAGGGAUUUUAUUUGGAAGUUGGUAUGCUUUUCUGAAUGUCCUUAAGUGUAGCAAGUCUUCCUACUUUGAGGGUAAACUUGGGUAUUAUAAAGAGGCAAUUUGUACUUAUGUCUGGUAAAUAAUGAUAAAAUACUUGAAUAAUGCUUUAUAAUUUGCCAGGCAGUUGCAAUUUUAUCUUCUUGGAAUAUUAGCCCCAUUUUACAGACAAGAGAACCAUGAUUUAAUCAAGGUUUUAAGGCUCAUUCAUUUCACAAACACUUAUUGAUCACUUACUGUUCAUGUAGAUUUCUAGGUUAGGAAUGAAGUAGCAGUUCCUCCUCGGAGGAAUUAACAAUCUAGUCGGGACAAUUAAAGAAAUGAAAUUAUUAUAGUAUACUCAAUAGGAUAAGAGAUAUAGGUGCAUAGGAUGCAGUGGAAGAAGAAGGAGAAACAUCUGGCAUGGUGGUGAGACCUGAGGGAGUCAGGAGUUUCCUGGGUGAAGGAGGCAGGGGAAGGGUGCUCCAGAAGAGGCUAUGCCAGGAGCAAAGGUGUGAAGGUGCUGGUGUUCUAAAUCAGAAUAAAUUUAGUACAUAGAAGGUCCCUGAAGUACAUAGAAGGUGCACAAAAUUUACUAGUGGUCUUAUAUCAUUUUGACCUUGUUUUUUUUCUAGCUCAGUCUGAAGAAAGGCUGGGCUAAAAAUAGCUCCUGGUACAGUGAUAAAGCAUCCAAGUAACGAUUUCAAGGAGAAAGUUAAGACUAGAUUUAGUUAUUUGGCAAACACUAACUUAAAAUAUUGAUGUGCUAAUAAGAAAUCAUCUUACGUAUUAAAGCAGAUCCUUAGAGGCCUGUUUUUGUUCCUCUUACUGGAAUAUCAAUUCUAUAAGGGCUUCAAUUCACUGUUUUCCCAGGGCCUAGAACAGUACCUGACAUAUAUUAGAAGCUCAGUAAAUAUUUGGUAUAUGAAGAAAUCAAUCCUAGGCUGUUAUCUGAAAAGUCACUAUGAAUGCUUAAACCAUAUUAGAAAUGUGUAUUUUAAAAAUUCAAGAAUUCACGCAUUUCCAUUAUUCAGACUAGGCUUUUCUCCAGUGUCUCAGAUACAUACUCCUAUGUAACAAACUUUCCUAAAAGUUAGUGAUUAAAAAAUAGCCAUAUUAUUGCUUAUGAUUUUGUGGAUCAGGAGUUUGGGCAAAGCUUAUUAGAGACAACUUUUUUCUAUUCCACAUGGUAUUGGCCAGGAUUAGAGGGUUCGUGGUGGCCUCACCUCCAUGCCUGGGGCCUUGAUACUAGUUGUUACCUAGGAAGCCUCAGUUUUCUUCCCUGUGGCCUCUCCAAUGGUCUCUCAUUAUUCACUAGACUAGGUUGAGCUUCUGUACAUCGUACUGAGAUUGUUCCACGGUAAAAACAGAAGUUGUAAGGUAUCUUAAGGCUUUGACCUGAAAGUUAUAGACUGUCAGUUCUACCAUAUUCUUUUUUUUUUUUUUUGGAGAUAGAGUCUUGCUCUGUCGCCCAGGAUGGAGUGUAGUGGCACCAUCUCGGCUCACUGUCACCUCCACCUCCUGGGUUUAAGCAAUCUCAUACCUCAACCUCCCAAAAAGCUGAGAUUAGAGGCACGUGCCACCACACCCAGCUCAUUUUUGUACUUUUAGUAGAGAUGGGUUUUCACCAUGUUGCUCAGGCUGGUCUCAAACUCCUGACCUCAAGCAGUCUGCUUGCCUUGGCUUCCCAAAGUGCUGGGAUUACAGGCGUGAGCCCCUGCACUCAGCCAGUUCUACCAAAUUCUGUUGGUCAAAGCAAGUCAGAGGACCAGCUCAGAUUUAAGUGGAAGGGAAAAGAUUCUACCUUUUGAUGGGAAAGAGUCAAGUUCCUAUAGCAAAGUGGCAUGAGAUCGAAGGUAUUGUGGAGCUAUCUUUGGAAACAGGUUGCUACAGUCUGCCCUCUGAACAUAACAAUUCACAUUUCUUCCACAUGCAGAAUAUACUUUACUCCUCUCUUGGAAGUCUUAUCCCAUUAUGGCAUCCACCUGAAGUCUAGUAUCUUUUCAUCUAACUAAAGUCCAGAUGCAUAUGAGAUUUCUUAGGCACAGUUGCUCCAGGACAACUUCUUUCUUUUCUUUUCUUUUUUUUUUUCCAAGACAAUUUGCUCACCCAGGCUGGAGUGCAGUGGCGUGAUCUUGGCUCACUGCAACCUCCUUCUCCUGGGUUCAAAUGAUUCUCUUGCCUCAGCCUCCCAAGUAGCUGGGAUUACACAGGUGCCCACCACCACAUCAAGCUAUAUUUUUAGUAAAGAAGGGGUUUCACCAUGUUGGCUAGACUGGUCUCAAACUCCUGACCUCAUCAUCUGCCCACCUCAGCCUCCCAAAGUUCUUGAAUUAGAGGCAUGAGUGACUGCGCCUGGCUUCCAGUACAGCUUCUUUAGAUCUAGAAAUCUGUGAACAAAAAGAUAAGUUAUCUGCCUCGGUCUCCCAUCCCCUAGUCAACAUACAGUGGUGAGAUAGGGGCAAGAAAACUAUAGUAGACACUCCCAUUUAAAAAGAAGAAGAAUUAGAAGCACUGUUCCAUAGCAAUUUUGAAGUUCAUCUGGGCAUAUGUUACUCGUCUCUUACCACAUGUGUCAAAAAUAUACCUUAAAUAGUGCCCAGUUCUGCUCCUUGAGAGUUGUUCCCUAGUACAUGGUUUUGCAAGAUUGUUAGUUCUACCCUUUGGGUUGGCUUUCUCCUCCUCUUUUAUUUUUCAUAAGAAAUAGGACCUAUUUGUAGCUGAGUAGCUUUCCAACCUGCUUCUUACCUGUGCCAAGUUGGGAACCCACAGAUAUUUUAUUUCUCCCAUUUUGAACUGUUGGUCUUUCUCUUUUAGUCCAAACUGAUGGUACUUUUAGUACUCUAGUUUUCUUUAAAACUUUGAGAGUUUUCUAUGAAUGUUAUUAGGGAUGGAUUCUAUGACCCAAAAGCCACAUUCAUUAUUCUUAUCCAGGACAGAACUGUCUUUACUUUGGCUCUGUCUAUAGAAGGAAAAGGUCAAUAAGAUUCUUAGAAGUCCCUUUGUAUAGAUGAGAAGAGUCUAUAUUUUCAAGGUCUCAACAAAAGAUCUUAUGGACAAACCUCUCAUUUCAUAUCUACCCAGAGACCAUUUUUAAAUUUCAGAUCUUUUGCCACUUGCAGAGACUGUCUUGGGCCCUCUCUACUUCCACUAAAUUCUGCUUAAAAAUUAAACAGAUCCUUCUUUAGUUUAUUUCUCUCUUCCCUUACUUUAUCAUAUGCAGCUAAAAGAAGCCAAUUGGCAGUUAACUUUCAAUGUUCUACCUGGAAAUAUCUUUAUCCAGUUGGUAAGUUAAUUAAGUAAAUAUUCUAUCUUACAUAAUUAUUAAAUUAGGUAAAUAUUAUUGCAGGCAACAGUCUUGCCAAACAUUACACCACUAUGUAACAUGAGUCCCUCUCUUUCCUGCAUCUAAUAGCAAUUUUCUCAUGGCUCUUCUGGCCUUUGCUAACAACCGACUUUCCACUUUUUCAGCCUCUGCCUGCCAUCAGGUCCGAAAACCAAUGACUUGCUUAUGGCACUUUCCAUAAGCAAGUCAUACAAAUCAAGUCACGUAUAUAAGAAAGAGAAAAUAGAUUCCAUUUCUUGAAGGGAGGAAUGGCAAAUUACCAUUGCAAAAGAGUGUGUGGAAUGGGAUGACUUAUAGUCAUCUUUAGAAUCAUCUAUAGCACCUAGUAAGUUUAAACUUGGAAGAUUUACUAUAGGUGAGAAGUUAACAAGUGGUACCCUGUGUAUGUUUCUGGCUCACAGAUAUGGUAUCUUUGGCUUGCGUAGAGUUUAAAUUAAAAAAAAACAAAAACCAACAUAAUUUACCAUCAUUAAACAAUUGGAAGAUUUUAUUUAGAAGGUUGUAUCUCAGGUCUCUCUUGAAAAACAGUAAGAUGUUGUUGUAUUGGGCCUUCAUUUCCAUAUUAGCUAGAAAUUGCCUGAUUUACUCACUUUCAUGACCUUCUUGGUUCCUAUAGGUAUUUGAGUUUGCAGUUUUUGCUACUGUAGAUUAUGAAUUUAUACAUUAGUUUUUUUAAGGGAAUGCAGUGAUGAGCAAGACAGGCAUAGAGCUUACAUUCAAGUAGGUGAAGAUGGGCAGUAAUAAUAGAUAAGUAAUUUAUUUAAUAAAAUAUUAGAUAAAUAUUCCACAUGGAAGUGGAAUUAAGCAAGAAUCUGGGAUAGAAAGUGACUAGUUGGGGUGGGUAUGCUUUAGAUGGGGUGGUCAGGAAGGCCUCUCUGGAGACAUGACGUUGAGUGGCCUUAGUGAUGAGAAGGAGCCAAACAUGGGGUCACAGUGUUCUAGGCAGAGGAAAAAGCAAGUGAAAUGACCCAUGGAUAGGGCUGGGCUAAAUGUAAGAGGAGAAAACGGUAGUAGAAGAGGGGCAUGAAUGAGGUCAUGAAAGAUCCUGUAGGACAGAAAAAGAAUUUGAGAUCUUCUUCUGAGUAAUGGGAAGUCACUGAAGGAAUUGAACAGGACUAGGGAUGUGAUGUCAUUUACUUUUUGCAAAGAUAUCUGUGGCUGCUGUGCAGUAAAUAGACUAGUGGUGAAGGGUGGAAAUAGGAUGGUUGGUAAGGAGGCUUGCAGUCAUCUAGAAGGGGUAUAAAUGAUGGGGCCUUGAAGCAGGGUGUGGUACUUUUAAAGAAGUGGUCAGGGGUGGUAUGUCUUAAGUGUAGACAGGUCUUAUGGAGGAUUGAAUAUGGGAAUGGGGGGAAUGAAAGCCAACUUUGAGGCUCUUGGCUUGAGCAACUGAAUUAAUGUGUGGUCCCAUGGGGAGUUCUGACAGAGGAGCAAGCUUGAAGUGGGGAUUGAGAGUUUUCUCUUGACUAUUAAUAACUUUGUGAUCCUACUACAAAAAUAAGGUUGAAAAUGAAAACUCCUAAAAUGAAAUUAUUUUCAUCUUACAGCUCUUUAUAUGUUGUUUUUCUUCUCUCCAAUGGAAGACUUUGCCAUUACUUGGAUGGCAUAGAAGCUGCAAUGGAGGAAGUAUACAGAUGUCUAUUGGAGGAUGUAUUUACAUUUUAAUGUGUAGCUAUCUGCUGUCAAGAAUUAGGCAGUGAGACUGGGCACUGUGGCUCACACCUGUAAUCCCAGCACGUCGGAAGGCUGAAGUGGAAGUAUUGCUGUAGGCCAGGUGUUUAAGAGCAGCUUGACCAACAUAGUAAGCUCUUGUCUCUACAAAAGAUUUAAGAAUUUACAGGUGUGGUGGCUCACACCUAUAAUCCCAGCACUUGGGGAGACCAAGGCAGGUGGGUCACUUGAGGCCAGGAGUUUAAGACCAGCCUGGCCAACAUGGUGAAACCCUGUCUGUACUAAAAAUACAAGAAAAAUUAGCUGGGCAUGGUGGCGGGCACCUGUAAUCCCAGGUAUUUGGGAGGCUGAGGCCUGAGAAUCAUUUGAACCCAGGAGGUGGAGGUUGUAGUGACCUGAGACUGUGCCAUUGCAUUCCAGCCUGGGCAACAAGAAUGAAACAGUCUCAAAAAAAAAAAAAAAAUUAAGAAUUAGCCAACCAUGGUGUUGUGUUAUUUUGAGUAAUGGGAAGUCAUUGAAGGAAUUGAAUGGGAUAGUGGUGUAAUGUCAUUUACUUUUUACAAAGAUGCCCCUGGCUGCUGUGCUGUGAAUAGACUAGUGGCCAAGGGUGGAAGCAAAAUGUCCAUUUUUAAUUUUCUAUUUAUUCCAAUUCAGUGUGGUCAUAAGGGAUCAAGUGUAAUUUAUUACUCACAUUUAAUUGUUAGGGAGAAGUAAUUCAUUUUUACUACUUAAAAAGGUGGCAUGAUAGUAAUCAGAAUGUUCUAGGAGAGCCUUCCAGAGGUUUGUAAUGCUUAGAAUUGAAGUCACUAUUUAGCUAAGACCAGAAUCAUAACUACCUGAGGCAAGAUUGAGUAAGGUGAAUGGAUUUGAUGAAUUAAAGUGCUACUUGUAAAGGACAGUAAAUUUACUUUUAUAUUUGAGGUAGUAGCUUUUAUUGUAAAUUCGGAUGCAAAAUGAAAUAAUAGAGUUUUCACCCCUUUCAAGAGCCAUUUGGCGAUAGCGUUUUGACUAGAUCUGCCAUUCAAGUCAACUUAGAAAUAAUUCAUAAUUUUAUUUUUAAAUUUCUAUUUUAGUAUAUUUUCAUAUUAUCAUGAGAUAGUGAUAACACCACUCUAUUUUAUUAUAAUUGGUUGGGAGGAAAUAGCCUUUUAUAAAAGGUUAGUUAGUGGCUUAUUGCCAUUAUCAUUUAUUUUACCUUUUUUAGAAAAUGAAAUCAUUACAUUUAAAUUCAGUGUAUACUAUGUAGAGAACAUAACUGAUUUAAAACCAUGUAAAAUAGCUUGUCUUACUAACAAAACAUUCGAUUUUUCCUUCUUUGUGAAACCUUGAGUCAAAGUGUACUAGUGAGGAUGUUUAUAUUCCAGUGGUGUAGCUGAACCAGACAGGUCUGCAGCGCAGUGGUUUAUUUUUAGACCUGCGUUGCCAUUUUUAUCCUGCAAAAAUAUUCAUCAGUGUCUUGCUGACAGGCCAUCAGUUUUAUAAAUGUGCCACAUAGACCAGAUUUUGUUCUUUGUCUCAUUUUCCCUCCAACUCUUUUUUUUCUUUUGAUUUGUUCAUACAACUGUUUGGAGAAGGAGAAUUUUUUUUUUUUUUCAAUUCAUGUAGUAGAUGCUUCAAUUCACAGAUUUUCAGCAUCACCCAGUUCAUUCAUCUAUCUGCAGCUGCUUACACAUCUCUACUUAUUGUCUGAUAUGGGAAGCUGUUAUAGAUCACUAAGCUGAAGGCAAGGAAAAGAGAAAUGCAUGCACUGGGGACUUUCUUCAUGGGCCAGUCACUUUUGGGCUGCUUUCUCCGUGUGUGUGUGUGUGUGUGUGUGUGUGUGUGUGUGUGUGUAUUUACUUGUCUUACCCAACAAGGGACUGGCACAAAAUACUUUUCAUAAAAAAAUAGCGGCCUAAGGGCCUAGGGGUUACCAUAUGUGGCAGAAAGCCAUGUAUUGAAAAUAAAUCCAUCAUUAUCUUUAAAUACAUGGAACGCCAGUUAUUUAAUUUGUUAGGAGCCUGUUUUAGCCUGUUUGGGCUGCUAAAACAAAGUAACACAAACCAGGUAUCUCAUAAACAACAGAAAUUUAUUUCUCACAGAUCUGAAGACUGAAGUCCAAGAUCAAGGUCUCGGAAAAUUGGUUAUCUGGUGAGGGACUGUUUCCUGGGUCACAAAUGAUACUUUCUCACUGGGUCCUCUCAUGGCAGAAGGGGCAAAUGAACUCUCUCAGACCUCGAAGAGGACUGAUUCCAUUCAUGAGGACUCUGUCCUCAUGACCCAAUCAUCCACAAAUGCCCCCUCCUAGUACUAUCACCUUGGGGGUUAGGUUUCAACUAUGAAUUUGGGGGGAAUACAUUCAGACCAUAGCAGAGAUGAUGUUUUGAUUCCAGAUGCUUGAGUGACAGAUAUAACCAAAACAAAGAAAAAGUGCUGUGAUCAAGAGAAAGUAGAGGCACAUACUUGUGAAUAUAGCAAGUUAAUUUUUUAACAAUGUAUAUUCGUGUCUUUUUUAUAAAAGCUCAGAUUCCCAAAGCAGGAUUGGUAUUCACUUGUCUGUCUCUGUAACAAAUAUUUACUGAGUAGCUACUUGAGGGCCUAAUAUAGUAAUUGCUUUGGGAGAUACCAUGGGUUGGAGAACAGGAUUCCUGAUUUGUAGAGCUUAUAGUUAUUUUAAGAGGAAAAUGUAUAUUUCACAGACAUGGCAGUAUAGCCAUGUAAGAGUAUAGGCACUGGAGGCAGAAAUUUACAUUCGUAGUUUGUGUCAGUCAUUUCCUAUGUGUGUUACCUUGAGCAAACUGUUAAACUUUCCUGAGCCUCAGUUUCUUCGUCUAUAAAAUUGGUAUGUACCUCAGAAAUUACUAUAAAGGUUAAAUAAGAUGAUGCUUAUUUAGCAGUGUGCUAAAAAUACUGAACGUCAUGCCUAGCACAUAGUAAGCAUAUAAUAAAUGCUAGUGAAUUCAUAACAGUAAUAACAAUGAUGAGGAUAAUAAAUAUUCUAUGCAUGUUCUAUAAUGCUUUAAUAUCAGAAAUGUCUUCAGUUGUAAGUAACAGAAUACACAACUAUGGUGGCUUAAACAGAUAAAGAUUUAUUAAUCGAAUAAGUCUGACAUAGGCCACAUUGAAAAUUUAUUAUCAACAAUUUUUAUUGAUAAUCUGUAUGCCAGCUACUAUUCUAGGCACAAGGAUUCAUCCACUAACAAAAUGCAGUUAUUCCUGUCCUCAUGAAGCUUACAUUCUAAUUGAGGAGAGAGAUAAAAACAAACAAAUAAAAAAUGUAAUAUAAAAAUGUAAGUUAUUACCAUGUUAGAAGGUGGGCUUCAUAGAAAGCUUUGUGAAGGAGGGCCCAUUUAAGUUAGGCCGUAAGGGAACAAUCGAGUUUGAAUAAAUAAGGCUAGGUGAGAGAAAGACAACAGAGGAACAGAUAUGAGAAAAAUGGAGGAGCCAUUUUGAUGACAGUACUGUGUUGGUCAUCAGGUAGUCGUCAGGGGCCAUGAACACAAGAUUUCUGUAAGAUUUCUAAAAUAAAAAUUACAUGUUUCUACAAUUUUUGAUAGCUGUAUUGUGUUUUAUUGUAUUGAUAUGCUAUAAUAUAGAUUGCUAUAUAUAACACACAGAUAUGGAUAUAAUAGAUUAGUAUGCACCAUUAUAUACUGUAUCUGUAUGUUAUUAUGUGCUAUAUAUGAUUUAUAAUUACAUAUUAUAAUGUAUUCAAUGUUGGUAUUGUAAACAGUGCUGCCACAUAUGGCAGUAGAGUAGUAAGUUAGUAAGGGCCAGCACAUGGCAGAGAAAGACAUGACAUUUAAAGACUUGUUUCAGAUAUCCUUGCAUCUUAAGGAUCAAUGACAAUUUAAGAAAAACGAGGACUAUUAUACAUCUAAUAGAGUUUAAUAAAAUACCAAGUUGAUAUGUUUAGUAGUAUCCUAAUCUUGUGAGGGAUUGAAGGUGUUUUCAAAAUGUUAAAUAGCAGUUAGUAUUAAUUUUUUAAUUAAUUAAUUUGCAAAGUAGGUGAGUAGGUUAGUAACAGCACAACUAUAACUUCAGGCAUCAGAGAAGUUGCUUUUUCUCUCUUUGAGCUCUAGUCCAGAGAGUGAAACUUUGUUAAAUAAUUUACAUUCAAAACUUGUGCUGGAGACCAGGAAAUUUCCAAGAUGUGUUUGUAGACUAAAAAGCCAUGUGAGUAAAGAAAUGAAAUCACUAAAAAGUACAUAAGAGGACAUUUAAAUCAGACUUAUAAGUUCUGCUUGUGAGAGAUAGCUUCUUGAAGGGAGGAAAGUAUGCUUUCUUUGAUUCCAUGAAGCUCACUCUCAGCUAUACCUGCUGCCUAUCCACUGCAUCUGAAAGUGUAAUUUAUCUAAGAAGUUGAAUAAAACAAAUUUCAAAUGAUAAAAAAUUAUUUCACCAGUCUUUAGGACUUCUACUUAAGGGUUCACAGAAGAAAUAAAUGUCAUAGAAACUAGCAUCAAGUUUUCUUCUUUUCUUGUUAAAGGUCUGUGGGAGAGAAGGUAAAAAUAAUCAAAAUGUUUUUCUUUUAUUUUAGUUAUUCAUGUUCUUUCUGUUUUAAGUUUUUGAAGAUGAGCUAGCUGUAGGUUUAUUGAAUCACAGCUCUGACUUGACUUAUACUGUUUCUAAGACUUGCGGAUGUGUUUUUUUAAAUGAGAUAAAAAGAUGAGAGAAGUAGUUACUGUAAUUUUGUAUUCUUCAUAGUCAUGGACUCACAGGGUCUUAGCUGUUCAUUUAGUUUGCGACUACAUUGUAAAGAUGUGAAACUAAGGCUCAGAAAUAUUAACCACUGGUCCAGGUGGAUUUAGCUAGCAGAACCAGGACCAGAAAAUAAGUUUUCUGACUAUUGGUCAAUCCACCACUAUUUUAUGUAGAGUAUAAUCUCUGUAACUGAAAAAAAAAUGUGUUGGAUUAUAUGAAGUCCCUUUAAAAAGGUUUAGUUGGAAGUGAAUCUCACUGAGUGUUCAUUUUGAAAAGUGUGUCAGUAGUUAAGUUGCUUGACAUAAUUUUGUUGGAAGUCUGGGAGUUUACCAAAAAGUAGAAAGAGGAUCCAGCCAGAUGUUGUAUAACAAGAAGGAAUUGUGUUGAGCUUCUGUGGUUUUGACUCCUCAAGGAUGAGAAAAAAAAAACUAGGUGAGAAUAGAUGAGCAUUCUUCCUUUCUUUCCUUACAUUUGUUGUUGAUACUACCAUUAGUUCUUUCCGUCUUCAAGAUGUAUAAAUUGUUUAUUAAACUAUCUUUUGGCAAGGCUGUUUUGAAGUUCUUGACCAGGCCUGAGUCAGGCAUGGCGAGUAGAUUGACUUGAUUUCUUCCAGGUGUAAAGUACCUAGGGGUAUGCUGGGCCUCAGCAUCAGUAUGUUUAAAUGCAUGCCUUUAAGAUAUAUUUAAUCCUUAAAGAAGAGGUAAUUACUGUCUAGGAGACUCUGGCCCAAAAAUAGGACUUUAUUUUGGUGUUACUGUGAUAAGCCUGGUGGCUUAAAAGGAGAAAGCUUUCUAAAUCUAAUUUCUAAAUCUCUUAGUGAGGUGAGACAGUGUGAAUAAAAUCUAGGGUCUCUGUUUUUGGAGAAUUUACUCACUUCUUAUAUGAAGAAUAUUAUUAAAUUCUUCUUCUUUUUUUUUGAGACAAAAUCUUGCUCUCUCACCUAGGCUGGAGUGCAGUGGUGCGAUCUUGGCUCACUGCAACAUCUGCCUCCCAGGUUGAAGUGAUUAUCUUGCCUCAGCCUCCCAAGUAGCUGGAAUUAUAGGUGCACGCCACCACACCCAGCUAAUUUUGUAUUUUUAGUAGAGAUGGGGGUUUCACAAUGUUGGCCAUGCUGAUCUUGAACUCCUGACCUCAGGUGAUCCACCUGCCUCAGCCUCCCACAGUGCUGGGAUUACAGGUGUGAGCCACUACACCCAGCCUAAAAUCUUAAACUGGAUGAAUUAGGUUGAAAUAAGUCCUUCCUUCCAUUAUGCUUAGAUCUUUCCUUAUGUUUAUCUACCUUGGUGAAUAUAAAUGUGGACUAUUGAAGAUAACUUAACUAGUGGAAUUACCAGGUAGGUCUUAUUACACCUCUUUCACUUUUAUUAUACCUGAGUUAUACAUAGUAUUUCAAGGGCACUUGUGUAGUAGACACUAUUGUCUUACUGGUGCUUUUGCAUACUGUUUAUAAACGAAGGAGAUGUUUAAUGUAACUAUGUUGACUGAAGAAUGAAGAGGGUCAUAAACUUGGAAAGGAGAGCUUUAUUUCUUAGAAAGGGUUGCAAGCUGCAGGGUGUUCAUUCUGACAGGCUGGGAAGCAAAAUGUCCCACCAGAAGUCGGAAAUAGACAAUUCCAGGGAGGGGCAAAGGGAAUAGGAAUUUAUGCUGAGCCGGGUGGCCAAGUAUAUAUGUUCAGUAAGCUCUAGGAGGCAUCAUGAAUAUUUAUGGAAGGAGAAAACGUGCACAUGUGCAAUUGAGCUUCAGACCUCUCCAUGGCAUGGAACCCAUGUCCAAAAAAUGGUGGCAUUAGCAUAAUCUCAGAGUGGAGUUUUUGGCCUUCUGACCAAAAGAUGAAGCAGAGCACACAAAAACCUUUACUGUGCUUCCUCUGUAAACUGGCCAGAACCACUCUAUAUGGUUUAGCUGUGUCCUCCCAACCUAAAUCUCAUCUUGAGUUGUAGAUCCCAUGAUCGCCUUAUGUGGUGGGAGAGAUCUGGUGGGAGGUAAUUGAAUCAUGGGGGCAGUUACCUCCAUGUUGUUCUCCUGAUAGUGAGUUCUCAUGAGAUCUGAUGGUUUUAUAAGGAGCUCUCCUCUGCUCUUGCUCUAUACUUCUCUUUGAUGCCACCAUGUGAAGGAAGGAUGUGUUUGCUUCCUCUUCUGCCAUGGUUGUAAGUUUCCUGAGGCCUUCCCAGCCAUGCUGAACUGUGAGUCAGUGAAAUCUCUUUCCUUUAUAAAUUACCCAGUCUUGGGUAUGUCUUUAUCAGCAGCGUGAGAACAGACUAAUACACACUCCAUGGUUGGUGGUCUCUUAUCAGGAAGAAAUGCUUCUGCUUAGUUGUUUCAUUGAAACUGCAAAAUGAAGGGGCAGCAGUCAGGCUAUUGGUUGGAAUCAGUGGUGGAUCUUUUUUUUUUCUUAGAGAUAGGGCCUCUGUCAUCCAGGAUUAAGCACUAUGACCCAGUUAUAACUCACUGUAUCCUCUUAACUCUUAGGCCCAGGAAAUCCUCCUUCCUUAGCCUCUUGAGGAGCUGGGACUACAGGCAUGUGCCAGCAUGCUUGACUAACCAUUUUUAUUUUUUGUAGAGACAGGGUCUUGCUGUUACCCAGACAGGUCUUGAACUCCUGGCCUCAAGUGAUCUUUUUGCCUUGGCCUCUCAAAGUGAUUGGGAUUACAGAUGUGAGCCACUGUGUGCAGCUAAAGUUCAGGUUAUUAAUUAACUAAUUAAUUAAUUUAACAGACUCCACUGCCCAGGCUGGAGUACAAUGACAUGAUCAUGGUUCACUGCAAUCUAAACCUCCUGGCUCAGGCAAUCAUCUUGCCUUGGCCUCCCAAAGUGCUGGGAUUACAGACAUGGGUCACAAUGCCUAGCCUCAGGUUAUUUAAAAAGUCGCUGAUGGGAAUGUGGAAUAAAGAAAAAUGUCAUUCUCAGUGGUGAAGAGUGACUUGGGCACAAUAUGGAACUGAUUCCCUGGCAUGUUUUAUUUGGGAAAUACCAGGCAGACUAUUUGGAGUUAAAACAUUGGUUAAAGAUAAUGAAAAAUAAAGUUGGGUUCAGUGUUAUCAGAUUAAUGAGGAAGGCACGUUUUGGAGUAUUUGUGUUUGCACAGUGCAUUAUUGUAAAAUACAUCUGUUAUAGAUAGUUCCUAGUUUGUAAAGCAAUAUUGUAUUGUAUAGUUGGGUUUAUGUUCUGGUGAUGACGUGAUGAGUGACCAGUCAUUUAACCUCUCUGAGAUUGUCACUUCAUCUGUUAAAUUAGAUGCUAUAAUCAGGCCUUAUUAUUUACCACCUUCUUCUGGUUUUUUCAGCAACUACUGAUUGUACCGCAUAGAAUUUUGCGGCAGUUAAAACAGAGAUUGUCUGUAAAGUAUCUGCUACUGUGUUUGGCACAUGUUAGGCACUUGCUACAUUUAGGUUUAAAUUUCAAAAGGGUGUUCUACCCAUAGGAGCAGUCUGAACUUAGGUUUCUCUGUAUUCUGUAGUGUAAAUUGAGUGACACAUUGAGUAGAAUUUUACUUCCCAAAUUCAAGGAACGAUACACCAAGAAAAAUGGCAAUUUCUGUUCCUUUCCUGAUCUAGCCCUUGAUAAAAAGCUCAUCUUUAGUAACUUUUAAAAAAAAGGGGUUUGGGGGGAAUUCAUGUGGAGGCCAGAGUGGAAGCAGGUGUGAGAGGGUCCAGCAGAAGAAAACAUGGCUGCCAAAGUGUUUGAAUCCAUCGGCAAGUUUGGCCUGGCCUUAGCUGUUGCAGGAGGCCUGGUGAACUCUGCCUUGUAUAUAAUGUGGAUGCUGGGCACAGAGCUGUCAUCUUUGACCGAUUCCGUGGAGUACAGGACAUUGUGGUACGGGAAGGAACUCACAAUCUCAUCCCGUGGGGACAGAAACCAAUUAUCUUUGACUGCCGUUCUCCACCACGUAUGUCCCAGUCAUCACUGGCAGCAAAAAUUCACAGAUUGUCAACAUCACCCUGCGCAUCCUCUUCCGGCCCGUCACUAGCCAGCUUUCUCGCAUCUUCACCAGCAUCAGAGGGAACCAUGAUGAGCAUGUGCUGCCGUCCAUCACUACCGAGAUCCUCAAGUCAGUGGUGGUUCCCUUUGAUGCUGGAGAACUAAUCACCUGGGGAGAGCUGGUCUCCAGGCGGGUGAACGGCGACCUUACGGAUCAAGCAGCCACCUUUGGGCUCAUCCUGGACGACGUGUCCUUGACACAUCUGACCUUUGGAAAGGAGUUCACAGAAGCGGUGGAAGCCAAGCAGGUGGCUCAGCAGGAAGCAGAGAAGGCCAGAUUUGUGGUCAAAAAGGCUAAGCAGCAGAAAAAGGCAGCCAUCAUCUCUGCUGAGGGCAAUUCCAAGGCAGCCAAGCUGAUCACCAAUGCCCUGGCCUCCGCAGGGGACGGCCUGAUCGAGCUGCACAAGCUGGAAGCUACGGAGGAUAUCGCGUACCAGCUCUCAGACUCUCGGAAUAGCACCUGCCUCGUGCUCUUCCAGCUGCCCCAGUGAGGGUCCACCCUGUCUGCACCUCCGCGGGCCAACUGUGCCACAGCCCCAGUGAUUCUUAACACAGCCUUCCUUCUGUCCCCACCCCAGAAAUCACUGAGCAAUUUCACGAUUGGCUUAUUAAGUGAAGGAAAUAAAGGUAAAACCCCUUCAGAUCACUAAAAAAGAAAACGUGGGAGGAUGGUUAAAAGAAAUUCAAGUAAAAUUCUGAUUACAUAAACAUAACCACAAUGUACAAUUCAGGGGGGCUUUAGUACAUUCACAGUGUUGUGCAGCUUUCAUCUCUAUCCAGUUUCAAGGCGUUUCCAUCAUUCCAAAAGGAAACCAUAUCCACUAAGCACUCUCUAUUCUUCCUUCCACAGCCACUGGCAAGCACUAAUCUGCUUGCUUUCUCUAUGGACUUACUUAUUUAUUCUGGAUGUUUUGUGUAAAUAGAAUACAGUGAUGACCUUUUGUGUCUGGCUUCUUUCAUUUAGAAUGAUGUUCAUAUAUAGGGUUCAUCCACACUGUAACAUGUAUCAGUAGUACUUCAUCCCUUUUUGUGGCUGAAUAAGACUCCAUUAUAUGGAUAUACUACACUUUGUUUAUCCAGCCAUCAUUUGUUGGACAUUUGAGUUGUUUCUACCUUUUGGCUAUUGGCAAUGGUGCUGCUAAGAACAUUCAUAUACAAGUUUCUCUUUGAUUAUUGGUCUUCAGUUUUGGGAGGUAUAUACCUAGGAGUGGAAUUGCCAGGUCAUAUGGUAAUUCUGUUGAUCUUCUUGAGGAAAUCCCAACCUGUUUCCCUUAGUGGCUGCCCCAUUUUACAUUUCUGGUGGCAGUUUACAAGGGCUUUAAUUUCCCCACCAACACUUAAUUUACAUUUUAACAGAUUACGGACAACCUUGUGGUUUUGAUUUGCAUUUCCCUAAUAAUGUUGAGCUUUUUUCAUAUACCUGUUGGCCAUUUGUAUAUCCUCUUUGGAUAAAUGUCUAUUCAAGUUCUUUGCCCAAUUUUAAAACUAGAUUGUCUUUUUGUUCUGAGUUGCACAAAUUAUUUAUAUAUUCUAGAUACUAAACCUUUAUUAAAUAAGUGAUUUGCAAAUGUUUUCUCUCAUUCUAUAUAUGGGUUGUUGUAUCAGUCUGUUUUCACACUGCUGUAAAGAACUACCUAUGACUGGGUCACUUAUUUAAAAAAAAAAGAGGUUUAAUUGACUCACAGUUCUGCAUGGCCAGGAAGUCCUCAGGAAACUUAAAAUCAUGGUGGAAGGCAAAGGGGAAGCAAGAUAUGCCUUAUAUGGUGGCAGAGUAAGAGAUCGAGGGGGGGGGGAACUGCCACACACUUGUAAACCAUCAGACUCCUGAGAACUCACUCACUAUCACAAGAACAGCAUGAGGGAACCACCCCCAUGAUCCAGUCACCUCCUACCAGGAUCUUCCCCUGACACAUGGGGAUUACAGUUGGAGAUGGGUUUGGGUGGGGACGCAGAGCCAAACCAUAUCAGUUAUCUUUUCCCUCUCUGGAUAAAAUCUUUUGAUGUACAAAAUAAUUUGAGUUUUGACGAAGUCCAUUUUACCUGCUUUUUCUUUUUUUUCUGUAGUUUUGAUGUCAUCACUAACCUUAGUGUUUUCUCUGUCUCUGUAUCCCUUCUACUUUCUAGCAUUCCUUGUCUAAUUGCUAACAUUUACUGAGGAUUUACUAUGUGCCAGGUCUCAUUCUAAAUACGUUACAUACAUUGUUCCAUUUAAUUUGCAAGGAGUCCAGUAUAGUGGGUGCUAUUAUUAACAUUUAAUUGAAUCUUGACUGACUCUGUGGGACAGAUAGUUUUGUAUUCACUUUACAAAUAAAGAAACCGAGACAAUAGAGGUUAACUAUUGCUAGAGAUUAACUCGCAAUAGAGGUUAAAUAGAGGUGGCCGAGUUGGGAUUUGAAUCUAGGCUUGAACCUUGCUGGUUUGAUUUUAGUGCCCAUGUUCUUAACACUCAUAUUGUAUUUUCACUAAAAUAGCAGAAGUCCUUCCAUUGUGGUGUCUUACCAGGUCCUGUGAUUCAAAAGUAGUAACUGCUUUGUUCCCAGUUAGAAUUCCUGUUCUCAUGAGGCCCCUUCCAUAUUACUCUUACAUUUUGGGUAUUCCCAGCAGAAGCCACAAGUAGUUCGAAUCAGUUAGAUCACACUGCAGCGUAAAGAUUGAUAGCCUUUUAAUUCUUAUACGUGGGUUUGCAUUUUUAAAGAGGGUGUGGCAUUAACCAAAAUGAAUCAUUAUUUGGAAGGGCUUUUAGUGAAAAAAUCAGGCAGAAGGCAUUUUUGGGUUAUGGUGCCACCAAAAGGAAUCACAGGGCCUUGCCUGGAAGUUGGCCUAGGGUAGUAACUGCCUUAAGCAAAUCGUACACAGUUUCCUUUUGUUUUUCUGUUCUGGACCUGUAGAUACUUGGAAGUGUUGUUGUUGUUGUUGUUUGGGUUUGCUAGGUUUUUAAGUGGCAAGUAGAACCGUCUCCAGUAUCUUGUUGGGUCAAAAGAAGGGGAGUAAAGGGUAGAAGAGAGGUCUGCUCAGUGGGGAACCUGAAAAGGCUGAGUGGGAACAAGGAGCCUCUGUACUGGGACAGGACAUUUGCAAACUGGGCAUUGUCUUUCAGUAGUAAUCUGUUCUUGAAGAAAGAUGUGUGCUUCCUCAUACCAUGGGGUUAUGGAAAAUGUCCCCAAUAUCCAGAUAUAUGCAUAAACUAAUAUUUUUCUGUAAAAUUAUUUUUAUAAUAUUAGGAGAACAAGUUAGAGUGGUCUUAUAUUGCAUCACUUUCACUGUUUGUCUUUAAUAAAAAUGGAGGAAGUUGCUGCUGUUUUAUUAACUUGCACCCUGCAUGCUUCUCUUCUUUGUUCUUUGUUAAAUAUGAGCUGGCGUGUGUUAAGACUACGUCUGCAUUUGCUCUCAGGGACUUCAGUGGUUUCUAAAUUCAGCACUGCUAAGCCCCUACACUGCUUGCUUGAAUCAAUUGAGACUGCUAUUUUUAGCAACAAAAGGGAAUUGAAAUAGCAAUUUUCUUUCCAUGUAAUAGAUUCCCAAGAGGAAUACUGAUGCAAGCUCUCUAUCAUUUUCUAUUCCUACCGCCCUCUUCCCAAAGCACUCAGAGGAAAGGCAGCUGUCAUGGUUUGCCGCAGUAUUAAUCUUUAAUCAAUUGAGUGUUUUCUGCAUUCAGGUGUUCGGCGGGGGUGGGGGAAAGGGUCAUAAGAAAGAACCUGCUUGGAAUAACGAAGCUCUUAGGCAUGGACUUUACAGUCAGAAUUUUGUGGGUAGUGGCAGGGAAUAGACAGAAGAGCUAAAAAUAGUGAGUUUGCUUUCAGUGUUCCUCUAGUCUAUUUUUGAUGUUUGAUUUUGAUAAGGUUGAUUGGGUUCUUACUAAAAAUAUCUGUUCCUAGCAAGUUGAGGACAAAAAGAGUAGAAUAUUUUUAACCUACACAGACUGAAGUAUUUUUGUUGACUGUAUAAAAUCUGGAAGUGGAGCCCUGGUCAGUUGCCAGUAUUUUAUAUAAUCUGUAGCAAGCUAGACACUUCUGAAUGCCAAGUUGGGCUAUUCUUUAUAGUUGUCGGUUUCCAUCUUCUCAACGGCUUGUAAAUUUGGGUGCUGGUGUUAUAUUUGUAUAUGAAGACAUAAGCCUUUAAAAAAAAAUCUUCCUCUUCCCCCUUCCCUUCUUUUCCUCCUCUACAUUAGUGCUAGCUGUGACCAUCAUAUGUACUGUCCGUAUAGCUUUUUUCUGUAUCUUGUUAAAAGUUACCUUAACUUAUCACUUAUUCCAUGGCAAACCAUGGCAAAAUGGAAUCUGAGGACAUCCAUGGUAAAUGAAGAAGCAAAACUUAGUGACAAGAAUAGUGAACUGUCACUACUUUGGUAAUUUAGCAUGUUUUACUAAACCAAAAGUGGUUAGUUUCCCGUUUGUCUAAUUCUGUUUUAGAUUAGUUCACUGGCACAUUAUGAGUGCAGUAGUUCUCCUUAGCACUGAAAACCAUCACUUCUCUCUCUCUUUUUUUUUCUUCAACUUUUUUUUUUUUUUGAGACGGAGUUUCGCUCUUGUUACCCAGGCUGGAGUGCAAUGGCGCAAUCUCGGCUCACCGCAACCUCCGCCUCCUGAGUUCAGGCCAUUCUCCUGCCUCAGCCUCCUGAGUAGCUGGGAUUACAGGCACGCGCCACCAUGCCCAGCUAAUUUUUUGUAUUUUUAGUAGAGACGGGGUUUCACCAUGUUGAUCAGGAUGGUCUCGAUCUGUUGACCUCGUGAUCCACCCACCUCGGCCUCCCAAAGUGCUGGGAUUACAGGCGUGAGCCACCGCGCCCGGCCUUUCUUCAACUUUUAAGUUCAGGAGUGCAUGUGCAGGAUGUGCAGGUUUGAUACACAGGUAAACGUGUGCCAUGGUGGUUUGCUGCAUAGAUCAUCCCAUCACCUAGGUAUUAAGCUCAGCGCCCAUUAGCUAUUCUUCCUGAUACUCUCCCUCCCCCAGCUCCUACCCUCUCCAACAGGCCCCAGUGUGUGUUGUUCUCUGAAAAUCAUCGCUUUUCAAGGACAGCCUCAGAAUCCUUUGAAAGUGCAAAUCUACAGGUUUAUUAUAAAGUUAAACUUAUCUCUGUUAAAUUUCUUGAAAAUUUCACUUUUAGAUCAUUGAUUCUUGAUGUUGAGGGGAGGCUGAAGAGUGUAUGGGGUUGUGAUAAGAUGUGGAAAAAGCAAUGGGUAGAAUCAUAAAAGGUUACUUUUCCUUCAUUAAUUUACUCAUCCAUUCAUACUGUAAAACCUCAUUAAUCACCUGCUUUUUGCCAGGUUCUGUUCUAGCAGACCGUGAUGACCCAGAUAGACCCUGCUCUUAUAGAAUCCUGCAUGAUGACUGUCUUUACGGUUGUCCAAAGGACCACCAGGAUGGCUAGAUAGUAGGAAAGAGAGUUUUAUUGGCAAUAUCAGUUUGCAAAACAGAGAGUCUCCAGCAUGAACCAAAAGCACUUUCUCCAAAGAACAAAGAAAACUAGAGGUUUUAUAAAAAGGAGAAAUGUUGACUUUCUGAUCCAAGAUGGCUGAUCGCUAACAGCUCAGGAUUGUAGCUCCCAGUGAAAGCACAGAGAACGAGAGGACGCCACACUUUCAGACGAAUUUUCAUUGCUCACGGACCAGAAGAUUCCCAGUGGAGGGGCCCCACGGGUCACCAGUGCGACUCUUGUGGCCGGUGCAGUGGUUUUGCCGGCACCUCAGCGCAGCAGCUCUUCGUGCAGAGUAAACGGGAGGAGAUUCCCGGGCAGAAGCUCACCAUCAGUCUUAACGCCACUGUUUUGUCCGGCACAGUGGGUUGCUCGGAUUCCAGUGCUGGGAAUCAAUAAACUGGGCGUCCACUCAGAAACCCAACUAGAAAGGCGGUAAUUGUAAAGACGACAGAUGGAUAAAUUUAUAACAAAGGGAAGAAACCAGCCUAAAAAGGCUGAGAAUACCCAAAAUCAGAACCCCCCUCCCUCUACAGGGGAUUACAGUUCCUCAUCAGCAACGGAACAAGCCCUGAUGGAAAAGGACUGUGUGCCAUUAACAGAAGUAGACUUCAGAAGGUGGAUGAUAAGAAACUUCUGGAAGUUAAAAGAACUUGUUCUAACCCAAUGUAAAGAAACUAAGAACUUUGAAAAAAGGUGUAACGAAAUGCUAACAAGAAUAGACAAUAUAGAGAGGAAUAUAAAUGAACUAACGCAGUUGAAAAACACAACACGUAAACUUAGUGAAACAUGCACAAGUUUGAAUAGCCGAAUUGAUCAAGCAGAAGAAAGGAUAUCAGAGGUCAAAGACCUACUUAAUGAAAUAAAACGAGAAGACAAGAAUAGAGAAAAAAGGAUAAAAAGGAAUGAGCAAAGUCUCCAAGAAAUAUGGGACUACGUGAAAAGACCUAAUUUAGGUUUGAUAGGUGUACCUGAAUACGACGAAGAGAAUGAAUCCAAGCUGGAAAAUACUCUUCAGGAUAUUAUUCAGGAAAACUUUCCCAAUCUAGCAAAGCAGGACAAUAUUCAACCCCAAGUAAUACAGAGAACACCACAAAGAUAUUCCUCAAGAAGAGCAACCCCAAGGCACAUAAUCGUUAGAUUCACCAGGGUUGAAACGAAGGAGAAAAUACUAAGGGCAGCCAGAGAGAAAGGUCAGGUUACCCAAAAAGGGAAGCCUAUUAUACUUACAGCAGAUCUCUCAGCAGAAACCCUACAAGCCAGAAGAGAGUGGGGGCCGAUAUUCAACAUCCUUAAAGAACAGAACUUUCAGCCCAGAAUUUCAUAUCCUGCCAAACUAAGCUUCACAAUUGAAGGAAAAAUAAAAUCUUUUAUGAACAAGCAAGUACUCAGAGAUUUUCUUACCACCAGGCCUGCUUUACAAGAGCUUCUGAAAGAAGCAUUAAACAUAGAAAGGAACAACCAGUAUUAGCCUUUCUAAAAAUAUACCAAAAAGUAAAGAGCAUCAACAUAAAGAAGAAUUUACAUCAACGAAUGGAUAAAACAGCCAGUUAACAUCAAAUGGCAGUAACCCUAAAUUGAAGUCGACUAAAUCCCCCAAUCAAAAGAUACAGCCAAAACCUAAUGGUAUGUUACAUCCAGACCCAUUUCACAUCCAAAGAUACCCAAAGACGCAAAACAAAGGGAUGGAGAAAGAUUUACCAACCAAAUGGAGAGCAAAAAUAAAUAAAUAAAUGAAAAGCAGGAGUUGCAAUUCUCGCAUCUGAUAAAAUAGAUUUCAAAGCAACAAAGAUAUAGUGGUAAAAGGAUCAAUGCAACAAUAAGAGCUAACGAUCCUAACACCCAGAUACAUAAGACCUAUAAAGAGAUUUAGACUCAACAAGACAGAAAAUUAAUAAGGAUAUCCAGGACUUGAACUCAGAUUCGGAACAAGUAACUCAAUAAAUAUUUAUAGAGCUCUCCAUUUUAAAUACACAAAAUAUACAUUCUGCACUUUAAAUAUACAAAAUAUUGAUCGGCCAUUAUUAAUACCCAUUUUUAGAAUAAAGCAAUAUUCCCAGUCUCUCUCCCUCUUUUUCUUCCUCUUUCUUCCUCUUCCUCACUCCUUUAAAAAAAAAAAAAAGAGGAGAAAUGUUACCUGUUGCUCUUUGAGAAAGUUCACUGGCUUUGGAUAAGGGUUUGGGGAGCUGGCAAGUCCUGAUUGGUGAGCAACUGCUCAGGACAAAAUUAAUUCUAGAGUUGCAGCAAACAUAGAUAAAACUGGUGUCAGGUUACAACAAGCAGGUUCAGCUUGCCGAGAAUUGCAUUUCUGGAGCAAUGUUUUGUACCCCAAGGGCUCCCCCUUCCCCCGCCCCCGGUUCUUCUCUCUGUUUCAGUUGGGUAUGACAAGCAUGACCCAACUCGUAUGAUCAACUUUCACAAAGGAUGAGUACAGAGUACUCUGGAACAGGGAUUCUGUAUGACGUCCUAAGUUAGUCUAGAGGUCAAGGAAGGCUCAAGGGGAGAAGAGAUGGUUUGAGUGAAAAAACCUCAAGAAUGGGAGGGCAACACAGCUAGAAGUGUGUCUUAGUUCAUUUGUGCUGCUAUAAUAAAAUACCUAAAGAGCAGAACUGUAUUUUUUCACAGUUUUGCAUGCCAGGAAGUCCAUCAGUGUGCCCACAGGUUCAGUUGUCUGGAGAGGGAUACUGUGUGCUUCCAGGAUGGCACCUUGUCUCUGCCUCCUUGGAAUGCUGUGUCCUCAUAGGGCAGAAGGCAGAAAAGCAAGUUGGCUGAAGGAACACUUCAUUAAGAUUCACUUAUAAGGGCCUUAAUUCUACUCACGAGGGAGGAGCCCUCAUGGCUUAAUCACCUCUGAAUAUCUCCACAUCUUACUACUGUCACAUGGGCCGGUUAAGUUUCAACACCUGACUUUUGGAAGGAACACAUUCAAACCAUAGCUGAGUGUAUGCUGGAGGUGUAGGGAACAUUUGUGAAGAGAAAACAUGUUACCUUCUAGGAACUGGAAAAAUUUCAGCACAACUGGGGCAGGCUUGAGUGGAAGGAGAAAAGUGGUAGGAAUAGCUCGUAGAAGACCUUGUAAAGAAUGAGGGGAGUGGGAAGCCAGUAACAGGUUUUAGGCAGGAAAGUGAAGUUCACAUUUACAUUUCGAGUGGUUGUUUUGGCUAUGACAUAGAGAAUGAAUUGGGGAGGAGUAAGAAUGGGACCAGGUGAAUGCCUUAGAAAGCUAUUAUAGUAGCUCUUGUGGGAGAUGAAUGAUGGUAGCUCUAGGAGGUAGCAAUGGGAAGAAGUGAAUGAAUUUGUUUCAGGCUUUAUAUAGUUGGCAAAAGGGAAUUGUAACUUCUUGGCAGAGAAAAAAUAGUGUUUGAGAAAUAAUUUUUAACUGGGUAUAGCAUGGAUUGAGCGAGGAGGGAUGAAAGAUUCCUCACACAGGUUCUUGUGUUUGGGAUGAUAGCGUAGAUUGGGGUAAUAGUUGUCAGAAAUAACUGGAUGGUAUCAGUGACAUACCUUGAGCAAAUAUUUUUAUGAUGAUGUGAAUAAUAUUUUGUUUUCAUAAUUUAUUUUGUUGACAGUUUUAUGCUUGCUUUUCUGGGCCUAUCAUAGUUACUUUAAUAAGACAGAAGUUUAUUUUUCACCCACUUUAAAGACUAGAACUUUUGUGUAUGUUAGAUUCUUUUUUUUUUGAGAUGGAGUUUCGCUCUUGUUACUCAGGCUGGAGUGCAAUGGCGCGAUCUCGGCUCAACGCAACCUCCGCCUCCUGGGUUCAGGCAAUUCUCCUGCCUCAGCCUCCUGAGUAGCUGGGAUUACAGGCAUGCGCCACCAUGCCCAGCUAAUUUUUUGUAUUUUUAGCAGAGAUGGGGUUUCACCAUGUUGACCAGGAUGGUCACGAUCUCUUGACCUCGUGAUCCACCCGUCUCGGCCUGUAUGUUAGAUUCUUUAUGACAAGCAGUAAAAGAAGAAAUAAUUGGGAUUUUAAAGUGGCGUGAUAUAAUUCUGUGGUAUCAGGGACCUUGAUUCCUAUGAUACUGUUCCAUUAUCUUAGCCCAUGGCUUCAACCCUUAAGAUUAUUUCAUGGUUUUAAGAGACUGCUCCAGCUCCAGCUAUCAUUUUAGAAUUGACUCGAUGAAGGGCAAAAGAGACCUCUCUCUGCCAAGUCAGCUUCAGUUAAGCAGACUAUCUGAAAGUCCUUCACAACCCUGCUUCAUCUUGUUCCCUAAAAUUAAUCACAUGGCCACUCCUAGCCGAUAUAUAAGUCUUUAUUCCAGGCCGCAAUAUGCUGGGUUUAAAGUCAGUGUUCUCUUGCAAAGGAAGAAGGGAAGAAUGGAUAUUAAGGAAGGCAACCAGCAGGCUCUGGCCCACUUGUGCAUUUAACACAUGAAGGAUGGCGUCCCCAGAGAAGAUUUUGCACAUUGGAUGUUAUCAUUUCAGUGUUUCUGUGAAUGCUUAGUUUUUUCAUUUUGAGAAACUACAAAAGGCCAGUCAUGUGCUUUUAAUCCCAGCUUGUAAUCCCAGCACUUUGGGAGGCUGAGGCUGAUGGAUCACGUAAGGUCAGGAGUUCAAGACCAGCCUGACCAACACAGUGAAACCCUGUUUCUAUUAAAAAUACAAAAAUUAGCCGGGUGUGGUGGCACAUGCCUGUGGUCCCCAGCUACUCGGGAGGCUGAGGCAGGAGAAUUGCUUGAACCUAGGAGGUGGAGGUUGCGGUAAGCCGAGAUCAUGCUACCACUGCAUUCCAGCCUGAGCAACAGAGUGAGACUCUGUCUCAACAACAACAAAAAAAAACACAGAAAACAAAACACACACACACACAAACACACACAAAAACAAGCAGUAUUUCCGAUUUGGAUGACUUGGAAGCUGGUUUUUGUUUUAUUUGGUUUUCAUGAUAUUAUAUGGGUCUGAGUGUUUAGAUCAGUGUUUCCCAAAGAUGAACCAAGAGAUGAUCUUAGGUACUACAUAGAUUAAUAUUUUAAAAUUUUGACAUUUAUAUGUUUUUUACACUAAUAGUCUAUGUUAAUUGAAACUGAUGGUCCUUUAUAAGAAGUAUAUUAAAUUUUCUAUUAAAUUUUUCAGUUUUAAGAAAACUUAAGUGACCUUGAGAAACACUAAUUUUUUUUUCUUUUUUUGUUGGGGGGACAGAGUUUUGCUCUUGUUACCUCAGCUUGGGUGCAAUGGGCACAAUCUUGACUCACUGCAACCUCUGCCUCUGAGUUCAAGUGAUUCUCCUGCCUCAUCCUCCUGAGUAGUGGCAGGCAUGCGCCACCACGCCCGACUAACUUUUUGUAUUUUUAGUAGAGACAGGUUUUCUCCAUAUUGGUCAGGCUGGUCUCGAACUCCUGACCUCAAGUGAUUUGUCUGCCUCGGCUUCCCAAGUGAACCACUGUGCCAGGCCAAGAAAUACUGAUUUAAGCAAUACCAGCCUGAUUUUGGGAAAUUGAAGUAGAUGAGUCUGCUGGCUCAGUUACACCAUUUUUCUAUUCAUAGUAGGAAAGGCUUUUUUUUUUUUUUUUUUUUGCAGUGGCGCAGUCUCAGCUCACUGCAACCUUGGCCUCUCGGGUUCAAGCAAUGCUCCUGCCUCAGCCUCCCAAGUAGCUGGGAUUCCAGGUGCCUGCCACCAUGCUCGGCUAAUUUUUUUUAUUUUAGUAGAGAUAGGGUUUCACUGUGUUGCCCAGGCUGGUCUCCAAUUCCUGACCUCGUGAUCCACCCAGCUCUGCUCCCCGUUCUGGGAUUACAGGCAUGAGCCACUGCGCCUGGCCACAAAGGACUUAAAAAAAAAUGCAGUACAUGCACAUAGUUAAAAAAUGCAAAGAGUAAAAAUAACUAUAAAAAUUAAUCUCUUUCCCAUCUUUCCCUAAUUCCCCAGAAGCAACUACCAACAGACGUUUGAUUUGAGAUGGUACGCUUUGGUUUACCUUUCCGAAAUUUAUGAUGAAGAAUUGACUCCCAGACAAUACAGUUUCACUUUAAUAGUGAAAAGUCACACUAUUAUUUUAUAAAAAUAAGAAAUUAUUGAACUUGAUUGAGGAAUUUUCUAUUCAACUACAGGUGCUAUCUUUACUACUACUGUUGGGAAGAUACAUAGCUUUAAAGUAAAGGAAAUGUCUUUUUUUCUUUUUUAAUUGAGACAGGAUCUCACUGUCACUGAGGUUGGAGUACAGUGGUGUAAUCAUAACUGACUUCAUCCUCAACUUCCUGGGCUAAGAGGAUCUUCCUGCCUCAGUUUCCUGAGUAGCUGGGACUAUAGGCGUGUGCCACCACACUGGGUGAUUUUCUUGAGUUUUUUUGUUUUUUAGAUAGAAAUGGGUUUCACUAUGUUGCCCAGGCUGGUCUUGAAUUCCUGGGGUCAAGCAGUCCUCCUACCUUAGCCUCCCAAAGUGUUAGGAUGAGCCAGUGCACCCCAUGGAAAUACCUUUAAAACCAAAAGCAGGACAAUUCUUGUUCCCACUCUCUUAAAUAAACGCAUCUGAAUCUUUUUCAUGUUUGUUGAGUAAGACUUUUUCUUUCAUAACUGACUGAAAUUUGGUUAUGUUUGUACAUUAUUGCAAAUAUAAUACAUUAACCAUCAUGUAACUUGCAGAUGUAAAGGCUUUGUCAUUUCCUUUGCUGGGGAAAUGAUACUUGGUCUCCCACUGCCUGACCACUGUAUAUAAUACUAAUUAUUGUAGAAAUACAGUGGUGCUAUAGAGAUGGCUAAGAGAGGCUCUUGAUUUCAGUUUUUUUUUUAAUGCCCUUAAAUAAUUUUUUGCACUUCUCUGUUUUCUCAGAAAAAAUAUUUACUUGUGAGGUAAUGUUACACGUAACUGGGCAGUGUUGGAGUUGGUUUUGAGAAGUAUGAGAAAAUGGAAAAGUGAUAUUUUUAUCUAUCUAAAAUAUCAGAGGUUACAUUUUUAAUAUUUGUACAACGUAAAGUCAUAUUGUUUCUGCUUACAUUUAAAGUCCUAGCCAUGAAAUGGGUAAUUUAUGGAAUAUCUAAUAUUGAGUGUGGCCCAUAUACAUCAUUGUAUUCUCGAUAGUCAUACACAUAAUAGUUUCUGAAGACUUAGUUUCAUUUGAAUUUGAUAGUUGCUAGCAGGAGAUAGGAAAAAGUGUUCUUGCUGGGCAUAAAUCUUUCUAAGUGUGUUUAUUAUCAUUUCUCAACUAAAGUUAGUCUACUUUGGUAUGAUAUGCUUAAGAGGAAACUUGAGUGCUUCUAGUUUUAAAAUGAUGAGGCAGCAAUACUUUUGGCCUUUCAUCUCUUGGAAAUGUUCUCUAAAAGUUAGAAGGAUAAGAAAUGGAAAGCUUCAUUUUGAUGCAGCUAGGGAACUUCUGUCAUCCCUCAUCCCCAGUCACAGCUAUUGAAGGCGGUGGAGUGGUAACUGACUUCCAGAGCAGACACUGAGUCCUCAUAGUGGGGCCACCAUUGGGAAACAAGCAAGUUUGUCCCUUGGAUCCCAGAACAACACAGAAAUUGGAUAUAUCAGGUACCUCAAAAGACAGGGGUGGAGCAGAUGUCCUUGAGGCUCAGGAAAAUUAAGCAGCAGAGGCCCCAAGGUGAGACACUUGAGUGAGAACAAAGGAUGACAUCUGCAAACUAAUAAUUGCCCACAGCCAGUAGACUGGAAAUUAGGGAAUGCUUUUUAAGAGACACUGAAGGACCCCAGAGAAGAGAUAGAUACUGACAAUAUUGGUUCAUGUGUAUGUGAGGUAUAUUCAGGAGUAUUCUCAGGAAUAACACCUGUGAGGACUUUUGUGGAUUCCCCAGUGAAAAAGCUGACUUGCCCACCGGUUGGGUGGUAGUGAGGGCUACGGUGUAAUCACCCCACCUAUACACUCUAAUCGACAUUUUAAUGCAGCCAAGAUGAGAGUGACAGUGACCAAAACAAUCAAGAAAGAACUUAGAGGAACAAAAUAUAAACAGUAGAAGAAAUUGGGAGGGUGAGGUGGGCGGAUCACGAGGUCAAGACAUCAAGACCAUCCUGGCCAACAUGGUGAAACCUCGUCUCUACUAAAAAUUCAAAAAAAUUAGCCAGGCGUGGUGGCACGCGCCUGUGGUCCAAACUACUCGGGAGGCUGAGGCCGAAGAAUCGCUUGAACCUAGAAGGCAGAGGUUGCAGUGAGCCGAGACUGCGCCACUGUACUCCAGCCUGGUGACAGAGCAAGACUCCGUCUCAAAAAAAAGAGUCGAAGAAAAUGUAAAUAUGUAAGCAAACUAUAAUUAAUGUCCUCAGAGAUUAGAAAAUGGAUCUAUAGUAAUAACAAGAUACUGUUAAAAACGAGAAAGAGCGAGAAUGUGCAGAAGAGCAGUAGGAAUAUGGAAGAUUCUUCAAAUUAGAAAAAUUGACAGCCUACAUUUAAAAAGUACAUAGAUGGUUUGGAGGAUAAAGUUGAAGAAAUUUACAGGAAAAUAGAGCAAAAAGAAAAGUAAGAUUAAUAGAGAAACUAUUAAGUCCAAAUUCUGAUUUAUAGAAAUUCUAGGAAGAGAAAAAUGUGAGGCAGAUGUUAUCUAACAGUUAACAUGAGAAACUCUUCAAAUAACUGAAGAUCAUGAAUUUUAAGGCCUACCAAUGCCUAGCACCAGUAAAUGGAAAAACACCCACUCAUUUGGGUAUAUUUUCAUGAUGGAGUCCUACAGACUAAGUAAUGAUUCUAAAAGCCCCAGUGACAAAAAAAGCAGAUUACAUACAAAUAGUGGGAAAUAAGAAUGGUGAAACAUUUAAAAGUGAUACUUGUGUUAGAAGACAGUGGAGAGUUGUCUAAAAUUUUUUUGUUAAAAAUGAUUUCCUGCUUAUAAUUAUAUACCCAGCUAAGCUAUUAUAUGUGUGGUUAGAAAAUAGACUUUUUACAAAAAGAUACACAAAAUUAGACAGUGUUGUAUUUUAAACUGUCAUAUAAGGAGACAUGAUGACUAAAUGUGAUGUGAUUCCCUGGAUGGGAUCCUAGAUCAGAAAAAGGACAUUCAGUAACAAAUAAGAAAAUCUGAAAAAGAUAGGACUUUUGUUAAUUUUAUCAGUAUUGGUUCAUGUGUAUGUGAGGUGUAUUCAGGAAGAUUCUCAGGAAUAACACCUGUGAGGAAGCAAAAGAAGCAGAAUUGAGCGGAGGGAGAAGUCAAACUAUGAUGCAAGUGUAGCGAAGGUUGUAGCUGAUACCAUUGGCCCUGAAUGUAGGAUGGCCCUAGAGAGAUGCCUAAGGUGAGGUAAGGGAACCCACCUUGUCCCUGAGUGUGGCCUCGCCAUUAGACGUGUACUGCCCAGGGGAGCAAGGCAGCCCCCUUUGGCUGAGAGCAGUUACUGGGAGAGACUCAGUCCUGAGCUGGCAGCAGGUAACACUCCUGGCAAUAGAGGAUCGAAUGAGUACCUGUGUGCUGGAAGGAAGGAUCUGGCUGGUGCACUAACAGUAUCCAUUACAAACUCCAGCAACUGGAGAAUCUGGAAAAGGAAGACAUUAUACAAUGCAGAUUUCAGAAUCUCUAGACCUGGCAUAUUCUGGCCUAAGAAUGUUUUUAGUUUUAUGGUAUGCUGGUUUUUAUAUCAGCCCAGAGAUGGCUAUUUUAAAAAUGAAUACACAGAUUAACAGUUAUCUGUAUUCUUUUGAAAUAGAUUCCAGACAAAUUUUUAGAUGCAGAGUACUGAGUGACUUUACGUAGUUUCAUUCUUCGGCAUAGUCUCAUUAAGAGAUUUUUGAGCUCUUAAUCUGAGAAAUCUGAUGCUACCGCCAUCAACUUAUUGCUAUGCUCAUGUAUAGUCAUAUGUCGCUUAAUGUUAGGGAUACACUCUGAGAAAUGCGUUGCUAGGCAAUUUUGUUGUUGUGUAAGCAUCAACAGAGUUGAUGCUUCUACAAACCUAGAUGGUUUAACCUACGGUACAUACCUAGGUUAUAUGGUAUGGCUCAUAACUCCUAGGCUACAAAUCUAUAUAUAAUAGCAUGUUACUGUGCUGAAUACUAUAGGCAAUUGUAACACAGUGGUAAGUAUUUGUGUAUCUAAAUAUAUCCAAACAUAGAAAAAGUACUCAGUGAAAAUAUGGUACAAAAGAUUAAAAAAGCCAAGCAUAGUGUCUCAUGCCUAUAAUUCCAGCCUUUGUAAGGCCGAGGUGGGAGCAUUGCUGGAGUCCAUGAGUUCAACAUAGCAAGACCUGGUCUUUAUAGGGAAAAAAAAAGUUGGUCAGGUAUGGUAGCACGUGCCUGUAGCUCUAUGGGAGGCUAAGGUAAGGAUUACAUGAGCCCAAGAGUGAGAGGCUGCAGUGACCUAUUGUCACACCAUUGUACUCCAGUCUGGGUGACAGAGCAAGACCCUGACUCCUAAAAAUAAGCAAAAGAUUAAAAAUGGCACAUCUGUGUAGGACACUUACUGUGAAUGGAACUUGCAGGACUGGAGUUUCUCUGGGUGAGUGAGUGAGUGGUGAGUGAAUGCGAAGGCCUACAAUGUUACUGUGCACUGCUGUAGAUUUCAGAAACACAAUACUUGGGCUAUAUUGACUUUAUUUUAAUAAAAACAUCAAAAAAAAUUUUUCUUUGAUAAUAAAUUAGCUUGCUAUAACCCUUUUACUUUAUAAAUUUAUAUUGCUUAUUUUUUGGACUCUUGUAAUAACACUUAGCUUAAAAAAGAAACAUUGUAUACUGUACAAAAAAUCUUCAUUAUAUGCUUAUUCUAUUUUUAAAAUUUAAAUUUUUAUUUUUUACUUUUAAGCUUUUUUGUUAAAAACAAAGAUACAAAACAUACACAUUGGCCUGGGCCUACACCAGGUCAGGAUCCUCAAUAUCAGUGUUUUUCACCUCCACAUCUUGUCCCAUUGGAAGGUGUUCAGACACAAUCACAUACACAGAGCUGCUAUCUCCUAUGAUAGCAGUGCCUUCUUCUGCACUAUCUCCUGAAGGACCUGCCUGAGGCUGUUUACAGUUAACUUUUCUUUCUAUAAAGCAGAAGCAGUACACUAUAUUGUUAAAAUGUAUGGUAUUAUAGUAAAUACAUAACCUAGUAGCAUAGUUGUUUAUUAUUAUCAAGCUACAUAUAUAUGUAUACAUAUAUGUAUGUAUACUAUACAUAUACAUAAUACAUACAUAUAUAUAUUAUAUAAUCGUAUGUGCUCUACUUUUCUAUCACUAGGUUUGUUUACAUCAGCAUGACCACAAACACAUGAUUAAUGCAUUCCAUUAUGACAGCUACUAGGUGAUAGGAAUUGUUCAGCUCCAUUUUAAUCUUAUGGGACCAGAGCCGUAUAUGUGGUCCAUUGCUGACAGAAGCAUUAUUAUGAGCUCAUGACUGUAUGUGGUUUUCUUGCUUCACAGUUGUAGGCUUAAAGCAGAAUAAUCUAGUUACGAACAGGAUUUGUAAAUAGGUCAGUGGCUAAUAGAUGUUAGUGUAGGAAAGUGUAAGAUACUAUACUUAUAAAUAAAGACUUUUGAGAAACAAGGUUGUCAGGAAAGCAGCCCAAGUCUUGUGUGUGUUCGCAGUUUUUUAGACCAAUUAAAUGCCGAUCAUCAUUCAAACACUCUGCAUAUGUCUAUGGAAUACUUACCUUGUGCACGUUGCCUAGCAAGGAGCCUAGCAUCUUACAGAAGAAUUAAGACAUGUAGAUGUAAGGAAACACAAUUCAAAAUAGAGUGGUAUGGUGCCAUAGACAUAAAGGUGUGUCAAGUGCUGUGGGAGUUUAGCAAAAGGAAGUUUCUUUCAUGUAAAGUGAUCUAGAACAGUGGAGUUGGUGGAUCUGCAAUGAGGCUUUGAUGGAAGAGGGUAGGAGGUGAGGUUCUGGGAUCUUGGAGAGGGGAGAAAAGUUUAUCACAGAGAAAAGGAACAGGAAAAAAUUUGAAACAAUUAGAAUAUGUUUAUCGAUCACUUGUGAAACAUUGGUGAAUCAGUAACAAGGAUACACUAUAAAAUUUGGAUUCCUGUGCCUCUAAAAACAGUCAGGAGAUGAAAAGUUACAGAAAAUUAUGUCCAUUGCUGUACUAUUAACAAUAGCAAAGGCAUGGAAUCAGACCAGGUGCCCAUCAGUGGUAGAUUGGAUAAAGAAAAUAUGGUACAUAUAUACUAUGGAAUACUCCAUAGCCAUAAAAAAGAAUAAAAUCAUGUCCUUUGCAGCAACAUAGAUUAAGCUAGACACCAUAAUCUUAAGCAAAUUAACACAGCAACAAAAGACCAAACACUGCGUGUUCUCACUUACAAGUGGGAGCUAAACAUUGAGCACCCAUGGACAUAAAUAUGGGAACAGUAGACACUGUGGUCUACUAGCGGGUGGAGGGAAAGGGGGUGAGUUGAAAAGCCACCCAUUGGGUACUAUCCUCACUACCUGGGUGGUGGGAUAUAUACCCCAAACCUCAGCAUCAAGGAAUAUGCCCAUGUAACAAACCUACACACAUACCCCCAUAUCUAAAAUAAAAGUUGAAAUUUAAAAAAAAAGAAAAAGGUUACAAAUUGAUCAUGAGGUUGGAGGAGAUUUCAUAUAAUUCUCAGUUUUCUGUAGUUAGGUUCUCCCACAAACGUUUAAAUCUGUGCGUUACUAAUGUUUCUUAUAAACAGAACAAUAGUGACAAAAACACAUGGGUUACCUUUGGAAGAUGCCAGAGAACCAAUUUAUUUUGAAAACUGAUAAAGGCCAAAAAAAAAAAAAAAUCAAAUGUUUUUCUUGUAUUCUUACACAAGCUAUAUAUCAUGGUAACUAACUAAUGAGAAAUAAUUUGUCUCUGGAAAUAGUCCAGCUAAUAGAUGAAGAUGAAUGAUUGAACUCUAAUACCACCGUUUUGCAAUCCCUAAUGAAAUAAUGGAUCUCAGUGGUGACCAGCAGUGGCUGCUAAUAUAACAAAACGAAAGAUAACCAGACAUAUGCUUCCUGAUGUAAAAAUGCAUUAUCCCUUAUGAAGUACUCUUACCAAAAAAAUCAAACCUGAAUUUGAUCCAGUAUCUAUAUCCAGCCUCCAAGGGACAGAGAAUAUGUUAAAUGAUAUCAAAGACAGGCUAAGAAAGCACAAACCUUUGACUUAAUAUCUUAAACCAAUAAAUUGAGAGAGUGAAGUGGGGAGAGAGGAAAGUGAUUAUAGACAUGGUUAAUUAACAUAUUAGGAAAUUUUAUUAUGGAACCUAUUGAAUCCUGAUUAGAGCAAUUGUUAAAAGUUUUUUGAAAUUUGGCAGAAUUUAUAGUGAUUACAUAUUUGGUAUCAAGGAAUUGUUAUUUACAAUGUUAGGAAUGAGAUAAUGGUAUUGUGGCUAUCUUUAAUAGCAGAAACAAAUGGUAAUAGUUAAGAAUGAAGUGAUAUGAUGCCUUUACUUCGAAAUAAUCCAGUGUGGGAGGAAGCAGGUGAGGGUAUUAGAUGAAGCAAGGUUAAUCUCUCAAGUGUUUCAUUGGUGAAGCUGGGCUCUAGGAACCUGGGAGUUUGUUAAACUUGUUCUCUGGAAAUUUCAACUUUUUUUUUUGUUUCGAGAUGGAGUUUCACACUGUCACUGGGGCUGGAGUGCAGUGGCAUGCUCUGGGCUCACUGCAACCCUGCCUCCCAGGUUCAAGUGAUUCUCUUUGCCUCAGCCUCCCAAGUAGCUGGGAUUACAGGCACCCGCCACUAUGCCCAGCUAAUAUUUUUGUAUUUUUAGUAGAGAUGGGAUUUCACUAUGUUGACCAGGCUGGUCUCAAACUUGUGACCUCAUGAUCUGCCCAGCUUGGCCUCCCAAAAUGCUGGGAUUAUAGGUGUGAGCCACUGCACCUGGCCUAUUAUGACAUUUUUAUUUAUUUAUUUAUUUAUUUUAAAUCAUGGGAAGAUAUCAGCUAAGCAAGAACAUGAUGGAUGUCUAUGAGAUUAUGAGAGACAUGGCAAGGGAGAAUAUGAAUGUGUUUACCACUUUUCUGAAUAGUAAAAUUAGGGACCAUCUUGUAUAAUUUAAAAGAAGUGGACAAUACAAGAAAAUUCUUCUUGACCUUGUAACUUGUUUUUUAAAAUCGGUAAAUGUUUUGGGAAAACUCAUAUUUAGAGAAUUUGAAGAGUCAUUCCUUUUUGAAGCAGACAUCUAUGCUUUAAACUUGUAACAUGAUUCUAGUAUUCCAGAGCUAAGCUAUCAUGUGUAGCCUGGCCUAUUAUAAUUUUCAAAUGUUUCUGUUACAUAAAGUUUUUGAGGUUGUAAGGUAAAUAUGGUUUCUCCACAAGAACAGGAAACCAAACACUGCAUGUUCUCACUCAUAAAUGGGAGUUGAACAAUGAGAACACAUAGACACACACCCGGGCCUGUCUGGGAGAGUGGGUAUAUGGGGAGGGAUAACAUUAGGAGAAAUGCCUAAUGUAGAUGACAGGGUGAUGGAUGCAGCAAACUGCCAUGUUAUAUAUAUAUAACUAUGUAACAAACCUGCACAUUCUACACAUGUACCCCAGAACUUGAAGUAUAAUAAAUAAAUAAAUAAAAUGUAAAAAGGUUUAUUCUACAAGGCACAUACAUUUCUGUUUGAGAGAACAAUAAGCUUAUUAUGAAAAGUAUACUGACAUGGGAUUCAAAAUAUUUCGAAUCCCAAAUCUUUUCUUCUGAAUGUACUAGACAUGAGCCAGUCCUAAAAAAAAAAAAAAGAUAGCCUGAUGCCCUUUUCAGCCUCAGCCCACCUGUACCCAGGUGAAUAAAAAUAAAUAAAUAAAUAUUUUAAAAAAUAUAAAUAUGGUUUCUCAUGGAAUAAUUAAAUUAUUUUCUAUUUACUUUUACUACCCGUUGUUUUAAAAACUAGUUUAUGAAGAUAUAUAUAAUAAGGUACACACUUAGCUGUACCUAAGUGUGCGGCUCAGUGAGUCUAUACACACACAGUGGUAACUGCCACCCUAAAAAGAUACAGAAUAUUUCCUGUAUCCUGGAAGAUUCCUGUAUUGCCCUUUCCUGUUAUCUACUCUGCUAUCCAGAGGUAACCAAUAUUCUGAUUUCUAUCACCAUAGAUUAGUUUUGCUUUUUCUUGAAGUUACAUUUUAUGUCAGGCUUUUGUUAUGUCUUAGAGAUUCAUUCAUGUUUUGCUUAUAUCAGUAGUUUAUUUUUCUUGCUGUUUCCUAUUCCAUUGUUUGUCUCUAUCGCAAUUUACUUAUUCUUCUGUAGGUUAAUAUUUAGUUGUAUUUACCUACUGUGCACCAACUAAGCUACUAUGAACAUUCUUUGGGUAGACAUUAAUGCAUUCCUAUCUCUUGAGAAUUGAUGGGUCAUAAGGCAGGCAUAUUUUUAGUUCUAAACAUAUUGGCAAAUAGUAUUUUCCAAAAUAGUUGUACCAACUUUACAGUGCCACCAGCAAUGUAUGCGAGUUCCACUUGCUCCACAUUCCUUUUUAACACUUGAUUUUGAAGUCUUUUUAAAAUUUUAGCUACUGCAGUGUGCAUUCAGUCCUCGAUUUGAACCAUUGGAACUGUUCUGUCUUUUACAUCAAGAUAAUCUAUCACACUGGUUCUCUUGUAUGUGAUUGCUGGGUCCUAACUAUGACGAAUUCUUCAUUGCAAUUCUUAGACUAAACUAUCGCUUUUUUUCCCUUUCCCAGUUGUCACAGGUAGUACUGAUGGAAUUGGAAAAUCAUAUGCAGAAGAG
Molecule: non-coding RNA, 44102 nt
Organism: Callithrix jacchus (white-tufted-ear marmoset)
Lineage: Eukaryota; Metazoa; Chordata; Mammalia; Primates; Cebidae
Source: RefSeq, a predicted model, not a curated record